GACGAAAACGAAAGUAGAAAGUGUUGCUCGGUGGAUUUGAUGCAUGCCCUUUACUAGAAAACAUUCUUCAUUUUCAAGCUUAAAGCACAGAAAAAAUGAGCGUUUCAAAUGCUUAUAAAUUCUCUUCUUAGUGGACAAGACUGCAAGUCACACUGAACAGCAGAUUGUUGUCUCAAGCCAGUGCUGAUCAAUGACAGUUUAGCUGCAGUAUGUCAGAGAAGAGAGGAAAGAUGAGUCUCUCACAGAAACAGAGGUCACACUGAACAGCAGAUUGUUGUCUCAAGCCAGUGCUGAUCAAUAACAGUUUAGCUGCAGUAUGUCAGAGAAGAGAGGAAAGAUGAGUCUCUCACAGAAACAGAGUGUAAGAUCAGGCUCACAUGUGUCUGUGAAGAGUGACCGGUCAAAGGUUU
This is a long non-coding RNA of Cyprinus carpio (common carp), 410 nucleotides long. RefSeq lists it as uncharacterized. NCBI's taxonomy places the organism in Eukaryota, Metazoa, Chordata, Actinopteri, Cypriniformes, Cyprinidae. The transcript is spliced from 4 exons. The record is from RefSeq and is a predicted model, not a curated record.